RNAcentral lists this ribosomal RNA (292 nucleotides) under uncultured bacterium. RNAcentral describes it as "partial 16S ribosomal RNA". It matches the Rfam family "Bacterial small subunit ribosomal RNA", at positions 775 to 1067 of the family's 1533-position model. The record is from RNAcentral.
GGAUUAGAUACCCUGGUAGUCCACGCCGUAAACGAUGUCAACUAGCUGUUGGAAAACUAUGUUUUUCAGUGGCGCAGCUAACGUAGUAAGUUGACCGCCUGGGGAGUACGGCCGCAAGGCUAAAACUCAAAUGAAUUGACGGGGACCCGCACAAGCGGUGGAGCAUGUGGUUUAAUUCGAUGCAACGCGAAAAACCUUACCUAUACUUGACAUACUUGGAAUGCUUUGUAAUGAAGCAGUGCCUUCGGGAGCCAAGAUACAGGUGCUGCAUGGCUGUCGUCAGCUCGUGUUG